AUUUGCACACACUUUGGAGUGUAAGCAGAAAACUCAAAACAGUGCGGUCACACAAGUUUAACACGGAUCCUUACAGGAGUUCUAAUGAAGAAGAUUUAUACUCAUAAAGGUUGCAAGCAAUUACCCUGUGGACAGUUUCAAGGUGUUUGCGGGACUUGGAAAAACACUAUAUACAACUCUAUACUAGAACCACUACAGAUUAGUUACAAAAAGCAAGGAGAAGGACAUGGUCAUGGUAUAAGACUUGCACUGGAACGUCAUGGAGCUUCCUUAUAGAUUUUACCAAGUGCCAGCAUAUACCUUCUCAGUUCUGCCUAGGUGAGUCAGAGAACUCUACCUCUCAGCCAGUCCUGUUUAACCUGCUGAAUUGAACUUGCCAAUGGAAUACUACUUAUAAUUAACUUUGAACAAUGACAGAAAAUACAUGACCUUGAUGAAACAUUGAGUCAAAUAUUUUCAUAUCUGUUG
Long non-coding RNA from Mya arenaria, 468 nucleotides. RefSeq lists it as uncharacterized. The transcript is spliced from 3 exons. Lineage: Eukaryota; Metazoa; Mollusca; Bivalvia; Myida; Myidae. The record is from RefSeq and is a predicted model, not a curated record.